UGUAUCCUCACAUUUAUAUGUACAUUUGAUCACUGACACCAGAUAGUAAAAUGUACUUGGGUAAUUGCAGUGAACCUGGCCACCUUGUGGCCAUUCUGCGCAUGCGUCACAGGAUCGUUUGCACUCAGACUUCCCAAGGCAAAGUUUGAGGGCGCCAUGUUUUCACGGGAAGACGGUGGAAGACGACAUGGACGGUCGUUUAACAAGGAAAUUCAUUGAUGUGGAGCCAUAUGGGCAGGCCCUGACAUCAAUCAUGACUUAAACCUGCCUGGAAGGAUUAGAAAUGUUGGAGCCAGGAAAGCAGCAGCUUGCACCAACAAAGACCCCUGACUGAGAAGAAUAUUGAAGGAUGUUGACGCUCAAGAAUUUGGUCGAGGGUGCGUGUAUACUGGAGCCUAUCCCAGUUGACUUCGGGCAAGAGGCGGUGCACACCCUGGACCGGUGGCCAGCCAAUCACAGGGCACAUAUAGACAAACAACCAUUCACACUCACAUUCAUACCUAUGGACAAUUUGGAGUCGCCAAUUAACCGAGCAUGUUUUUGGAAUGUGGGAGGAAACCAGAGUACCCGGACAAAACUCACACAUGCACGGGGAGAACAGGCAAACUCCACACAGAGAUGCAACGGAGAAUCGAAGCCAGGUCUUUGGUUUAGUUAUGAAAUGUUUAAUUUAUUUCACAGGUUCCUCAACCUGUGGAUGUGUUGUAUUUUUGUGCACCGUGAUCAAGUAUGUCCUUUCUUUUGAUGACCACAUAUAUAAACAGCCCCUCUGCCAAAUGUUUUCAUUCAAUGUGGCUGGCAAGUACAACAACUACAAAUGUAGUAAAGGUGUUCUGGUUUGAAAGAAUGUUUUGUAAAAUAUGUGUUAAGAUCAUUUCAUUUAAUUCAAAGAAGGUCAUCUUAAAAAAAAUACAACACAGUCAUAUCAGAAAAGUGGUGUAGGUGGUAGCUUAAAUCUCAUGUAAAUAUUACUUAUAAAUUGCUCCAAAUGAAGUAAGGGAAAACUAGUUAAACAAUCCUGAAAGGCGAGUAUAUUUAUAUGGAUUGUUAGGUAGAUUCAAAGGUAGUUUUGAGUAAAAUUUACUAGCAAAGAGAGUACCUUUUGUGUCUAAGACAGUACAUCUCAAGUAAUAUUAAAGAGUAUUUUUAAUUAGACAAGUAAAUUUUACUUGAAUAUUUCCCAAGUAACAGUUACUUAGGAAUUGUGCGUGCAAAUUGUUACCUAGCUUUUUUCAAGUAAAUGGCACUCCACAUUUUUUUCAGUGCAUGGCAUAUAACAUAGAGCUGGUCUUUGAAUGUUUUGGGACUAACAAUAGGCCACGGUCUACCACCAGGCAGUGAUUAUUUAUGAAUUAUUUUUUGAAAAAAGGCGAUGAAGAAGCGACAUUGUAGCCGUGAUCCUGUAUAGGGAGGAAUGACUGUACAGCUUCUAUGUUACAAAUGUAUUGGCUGUAAGAAAUCUAUGUAUUCAUCUAGCUUGCAUUAUACAGGAUAUGAUGCAUCAUGUGUGUGUGAUUUUCCUGGUUUUCCUGGCAGGCGUUGGCACUGAUUACAAGCCCCCAUUGCCCGGCCCUGAUCGGCUUGCCCCCCCAUGACGACACGGAGUAAAUGAACAAUAGUGUUAUAUACUGGACCAUAUACCCUGGGAUUGGCUGGCCACCAGUGCAGGGUGUACCCCGCCUCUCGCCCGAAGACAGCUGGGAUAGGCUCCAGCAUCCCCCGCGACCCUCCUGAGGAUAAGCGGACGCCACUGCAACAUCUUCUAAUUUGGACUCUGCCAUGCGGACAAAGAGCCCAAUAUGCUUUCCAAAGGCGUAAAACCCAUCCAAGCUAGCUGGAUUAACAGAGGCGGCGGGACAGCCAUGCUGUGGAACACCCAGGAAGGCCAGCCUCCAUUUCCCUCCGGUGUCCCUCAGGACGUGGGGGUGUGGGAAGAUGAACCUGCCGGCUUCUUCCUUUCUUGUUACUCAUUUGAUGCCACUCCUAAAUAUGGUGACAAGCGAGUUAGACUGCGUGGACGCUACCCCCGCCAUCAUAACAGUGGCUUGCCAAGACGUGCGUGCCUUCAUCAUACGACAUGGAACAGAUGAUGGAUGGAUCACCGAGUCAGCCCUGGUAAUGCCUCAGUAAAAGGUAGUGGACAGGUGGAAUAAACCAAGUAAAGGGGAGGUCUUUACCGUGUAUGAAGGUUAGUAUCGUGACAUUAUGUCUGCUGGAAAAUGCUUGUUACGAAAUGAGACGGUGGUGCUAAGAUCGAGCUGGAGAUGAAUAACGGAGGCCCAACAGCGACGUGUCUGAUGGAGCCGAGGGACGUUGACGUGUCGAGGGAAUUGUCUGUUUUGCCUCUUUAGCUGGAAUUGAUUUCUUCAAAGGCCACUUGUUUUUUAAUUAAAACACUGAAGUAGCUAAUUGUGAAAUUGAUUGUGGCUGUGUUUUGCAUGCUGUAAACCAAUAGACCGAUUCCCUGGGUGCCAUCUGUAUUUAUUGGGGGAAAACGUGCACCCUCUUCCAACUCCAACCUUCACUGGAAGGAAUUCUCUGCGCUUAGCGCUCUAAUCCCACAACUUGUCCAAACCUUGAGAAACUUUUCCAAUACUAAGCUUUACGAGAAAGUGACAGCACGCUAGUCUUUAAGGCACAGCAGGCCCUGCAGGCUCAGACGCAGCAGCAUUACACACUGGACACCACGCAGCGUCUCCACCCUUCCCUGCUCUACCCUACUCUACUUUACUCUACCCUACUCUGCUGUACUCUGCCGUACGUAAAAGUCUGCUCCAAAGAUGAACUUCUCCCCUGCCAGGAAGAUUUACGGCGGUGGUGAGAUGAGGUUUCUUUGUGCCAAACCUUCUCAUUCAUCUUUCUUGGGGCUAACAUUACCUUCAGAGACCUUAUAUCUCAGCAAGGCUUUCUGCCAGCGGAUUCAUCACGGCACCUUCAAUUAUUCAUCCUGCUUUUUAGGAAGUCCUAAUGGAAGUCCACAAUUUCACCAAGAAAAAUGUUUCUCCAUUAAAAUGACGAGGCUCCGCAGGCAAAGCCUGACUAAACUCCCCCCACAUACGCUUUGUACUCUACAUGCUGAUGUACUGUAUACCCAUGCAGUAUCGCCUGUCAGUACUAAUCCACAGUACAGCCCUCUUCCACGAACACACAUCGCUGUAUGAAUGACCAGCCUGGACAAUACCAUGACUGGAUUGGUGGGACUACAGGUGGCCUUUUCACACUUGUAGUCAACAAGUCCGUCGAAGACCAGGCUGGACUCGCAGGCCCCUCUGGUCUGGUCUCACACUAUUCCCUGGCGUUACCCUACCUCCUAUUCCAGCUCCUUUAUCUCGUGUGGUGUAUUAUUGGGACAAAAUGUAUGCGGCUCAGCACAUUUGAUGUGUAUUUGUGGCCUGAAUGAAGCCUUUUAAAGCAUACUAAUGACAAAGUGAAAUAGAAAUUUAAGGCAUUCAGAUGAUGAUAUGCAGUACUCUCCACUGGUCCCCAGGAGUCAGUAUCGUGACAUUGGGGAGACAGUAGCCCCUGCAGAAAGUACUGUGAGAUUUCUGUAUGGGCGGCCCAACCAGGGGUGGUAACGUGUCAAUGGUUAUGUGCCAUCUCUUUGUUGCUGUAGAAUUCCCAUCUGAUGAUGUUCCUCUCACAGUCGACGUGUUCUUCAACAGACGUACCGAGACGUUGCGAGGUCUGCCUCUGAGAGACAUGAUGAUAGACACGACAUAUCUGUUGGGAAAUGUAUGCUCAACAUGUUCCAAUUAAUCACGAUGAAAUGUUUGGAGUCGUGUCAAGGAGUCAAGCUUAUUUAUUCCCAGCAAGCAUUUGCAAACAGACACGCAGAUACGCUGGUCCUGCAGUGAGGCGCCAUCAAUCACACUUGGGAGCCAAUGAGCAGCCCCGCUUGGCCGUGUUUGAACCUUCCAAAUAGCCCCUCUGUCAUGUUAGCGCUGCGGAGUAAUUAGCAUGACGUAUCAUUCAAAGACACUGCGCUGCAUCGCCACCCCGGUGCUGCACGUUUGUAAAGUCCCAUCAGCCUUGAUAUUUAACUCCGCUCGACUAGACGGCCAUGCAGCCAAAGAAGAGUGGGAAUAAACAUUGAAAUGUUAUCCCAAAGCGAGAGCGAGCGAGCUGCAAGUCUCACUGCUGAGAGCAAAUCGUUCUCACUUAAAUCCCAGCGAGACUAAAAGGGAUUCAAGGAUUACAGCGUGCGCUCACGUCGCUUUAAUCAAAGUGCAAAGCCGUGCAGGAGAGUCGGCUCCUUGUUAGACGCUGAAGCCAAGCAGGUUGUGUAACACCAGAAGCCAAUACUUCCACUUCUGACGCAUAUUUCCCUCUUUAGUCCUAUUUCUAACCUUUUCUAGUCCUUUCCCUAACUACUUCCGUCGCCUGUGUGAAGCGUUGCAGGGAACGCGGCGCUUGUUUGAAGUGUUUGUGACACUGCCUGUGUGUGAUCUCCGGACGGAAGCUGGUGUUUUGCAGGUCGGUUCUCUUUCAAGCAAUAAAACUCAACUUUCUUUCUUUUUACCCACACCUCCCCCCUGGGAUGUGCGACACCGAGUAUUUGUACAAACCGCGCCGCUAAGUCGAUGUCUUCUUUGGAGAAAGAGACAACAGACAAAGGAGGAGCCACAAGCCGUUUCCCAGACCAAAAAGAGGGAAAAAGUAAAUACGGGUGGUUGUUUUUCAUGUUAUACAUGAAAAUGAAAAAGAGUAUCAAGUGUGAAGGAUGGCUUUAAGCAGCAUUCCUAUCAGCUAUUCCCAAAUAAGACGUGGAAAUGGGUUGGCGGUGGCCAGCACAUAAAGGAAGAAGGUUGCAAGUGUGACAUACUCAUGGACACUCACGUGCGUGCUGCUCGCCAUCCACCCAAAAUUGCAUGUAGGAGCACAUACGUGUAUGUAAUUGCUCCUUUAAUUGAAGUACUCAUCCUAUUUAAGUAUGCAAUACUUCAACAUUUGAUUAGCUCAUUUUGGCCAUACAAUCUGACUUACAUGUUGUUAUCUUUUAACGUAAUGAUGCGAGCCCCCCACCACAUGCUGCCUUAGAAGGAAAUCAAAGUAAAAGACAAAUAUAUUCGAGAGGUUUUUGGUGGCUCUGGGGCCCAGCAAAAUAGUGUCAUCAUCCACUUCAUGUCAGAAUGAGAGCGUUGGGAGUCAGAGGGGGCUGCUGGUAGCGAGAUGCAGGAUGGGUCCUUUGUUUCAUGUUGGCUAAUUCCAGCUAUUUUCCAACUCUUCUUUCAGGGUCUCUUUGGGAAGUCUUUGAUGCCGUGUCAGAAGCCUCCAUCUUCAAAGUACGUAGACCACCCAGCAUUCGGACACUCCAGUCCAGCUUGGGACCAUUAUCUCCUAACACAG
This is a non-coding RNA of Doryrhamphus excisus (bluestripe pipefish), 5346 nucleotides long. The record is from RefSeq and is a predicted model, not a curated record. Lineage: Eukaryota; Metazoa; Chordata; Actinopteri; Syngnathiformes; Syngnathidae.